AUUUAUCUGGAAAGCGUUGGAAACUUUUCCCUCGAGAAGGCUCAAUUUGGCCGUGUCUUGUUAUCUCCGCUACCAAACUAUCCGGUGAUGAGAACCAUUGAUCUCUAUCGACUUUUCUUCAGAAACUCAAAACUAUUUAACACCGGUUAAAUGAUUUAUGGGGACACCACUUAUGUUCCGCCAUUUGUAGUGACGAGCCCGAUAUGGUUAACAACCGAAGAGUUCUGCAAAGAUUAGAGGGAAAGUUCUUUCCUUGUACCCCCAAUUACUAAAGAGCAUUAACUCACCCAUUCUCCAACGUAGUUGUAGUUACGCUUCGGGUAAAGGUACACAAUGCGAGCUCAUCACUCAGAAAGUGGAUGUCCAGUGGUGAAAGGAAACAAAUAGCCACCCACAAAGUAGUUCCAUGUUCUCGAGUUCAAGGUCUAGGAUAAGAAAGAGCCUGAAGAGAAAGAAGGAAAGUCAAGAAAAAGAAAUAUUGACAGAAGAAAAAAAUAUAUAAGAAAUUGAGUAUGUUUUAUUGUUUUGAACUUUUCUUCGAGGUAGUUGAAACAUGAAUGUUUAAAACUUGCAUCUGUUGUAAAAGACAAGGUAGAAUAACUAAUUUUAUUAUGUUAAUUAUGUCCAAUUUUUUUAUUAA
Long non-coding RNA from Brassica napus (rape), 640 nucleotides. RefSeq lists it as uncharacterized. The record is from RefSeq and is a predicted model, not a curated record. NCBI's taxonomy places the organism in Eukaryota, Viridiplantae, Streptophyta, Magnoliopsida, Brassicales, Brassicaceae. The transcript has 3 exons.